ACCAGGUCUUGACAUCCUCUGACAACCCUAGAGAUAGGGCUUCUCCUUCGGGAGCAGAGUGACAGGUGGUGCAUGGUUGUCGUCAGCUCGUGUCGUGAGAUGUUGGGUUAAGUCCCGCAACGAGCGCAACCCUUGAUCUUAGUUGCCAUCAUUAAGUUGGGCACUCUAAGGUGACUGCCGGUGACAAACCGGAGGAAGGUGGGGAUGACGUCAAAUCAUCAUGCCCCUUAUGACCUGGGCUACACACGUGCUACAAUGGACGGUACAAAGAGCUGCAAGACCGCGAGGUGGAGCUAAUCUCAUAAAACCGUUCUCAGUUCGGAUUGUAGGCUGCAACUCGCCUACAUGAAGCUGGAAUCGCUAGUAAUCGCGGAUCAGCAUGCCGCGGUGAAUACGUUCCCGGGCCUUGUACACACCGCCCGUA
Molecule: ribosomal RNA, 424 nt
Filed under: Bacillus sp. BFC4
Lineage: Bacteria; Bacillati; Bacillota; Bacilli; Caryophanales; Bacillaceae
Description: bacterial SSU rRNA
Rfam family: Bacterial small subunit ribosomal RNA
Source: RNAcentral